UCCCAAAAAAAACUUAGGUUUUCACGUCUAAUGUUUGACCGUCCAUCUUAUUUGAAAAAAAUUAAAAACAUAAGUCAUGCAUAAAGUAUUAUUCAUGUUUUAUCAUUUAACAAUAAUAAUAACACCAAUCAUAAAAAAAAUUUAUAUAAGACGGACGGUCAAACGUUGGACACGGAAACCCAAGAAUUGAGUCUUU
Non-coding RNA from Oryza glaberrima (African rice), 196 nucleotides. The record is from Rfam. NCBI's taxonomy places the organism in Eukaryota, Viridiplantae, Streptophyta, Magnoliopsida, Poales, Poaceae.